CGGGGCUUAAUGUCUUGUAAUUGGAAUGAUGGGAAUUUAAACCUCUUCCAGAGUAUCAAUUGGAGGGCAAGUCUGGUGCCAGCAGCCGCGGUAAUUCCAGCUCCAAUAGCGUAUAUUAAAAUUGUUGCAGUUAAAAAGCUCGUAGUUGAAUUUCUGCUACAUUGCCUAUUCUCCUUUACGAGUUUGGGUCUUUUGUGGCUUAUCUGGGUUCGCUUGCGUUCCCGGUGUUUUACUUUGAGAAAAUUAGAGUGCUCAAAGCAGGCUUUUGCCUUGAAUAGUUUAGCAUGGAAUAAUAAAGUAGGACUUUGGUUCUAUUUUGUUGGUUUUAGGUACCAAAGUAAUGGUUAAUAGGAACAGUUGGGGGCAUUCGUAUUUAACUGUCAGAGGUGAAAUUCUUAGAUUUGUUAAAGACGAACUACUGCGAAAGCAUUUGCCAAGGAUGUUUUCAUUAAUCAAGAACGAAAGUUAGGGGAUC
This 475-nucleotide ribosomal RNA is filed under the name Theileria velifera. Its description in RNAcentral is "SSU rRNA". It matches the Rfam family "Eukaryotic small subunit ribosomal RNA", at positions 486 to 999 of the family's 1831-position model. Lineage: Eukaryota; Apicomplexa; Aconoidasida; Piroplasmida; Theileriidae. The record is from RNAcentral.